This 497-nucleotide ribosomal RNA is filed under the name uncultured bacterium. Its description in RNAcentral is "partial 16S ribosomal RNA". It matches the Rfam family "Bacterial small subunit ribosomal RNA", at positions 28 to 507 of the family's 1533-position model. The record is from RNAcentral.
GAUGAACGCUGGCGGCGUGCCUAAUACAUGCAAGUCGAGCGAACAGACGAGGUGCUUGCUCCUUUGACGUUAGCGGCGGACGGGUGGGUAACACGUAGGUAACCUACCUAUAAGACUGGGAUAACUUCGGGAAACCGGAGCUAAUACCGGAUAAUAUUUCGAACCGCAUGGUUCGAUAGUGAAAGAUGGCUUUGCUAUCACUUAUAGAUGGACCUGCGCCGUAUUAGCUAGUUGGUAAGGUAACGGCUUACCAAGGCAACGAUACGUAGCCGACCUGAGAGGGUGAUCGGCCACACUGGAACUGAGACACGGUCCAGACUCCUACGGGAGGCAGCAGUAGGGAAUCUUCCGCAAUGGGCGAAAGCCUGACGGAGCAACGCCGCGUGAGUGCUGAAGGUCUUCGGAUCGUAAAACUCUGUUAUUAGGGAAGAACAAACGUGUAAGUAACUGUGCACGUCUUGACGGUACCUAAUCAGAAAGCCACGGCUAACUACGUG